UACGUAGGGUGCGAGCGUUAAUCGGAAUUACUGGGCGUAAAGCGUGCGCAGGCGGUUUUGUAAGCCAGAUGUGAAAUCCCCGGGCUUAACCUGGGAAUGGCAUUUGGGACUGCAAGGCUGGAGUUUGGCAGAGGAGACUGGAAUUCCCGGUGUAGCAGUGAAAUGCGUAGAUAUCGGAAGGAACACCAGUGGCGAAAGCGGCUUCCUGGUCCAGCAUCGACGUUCAGGCACGAAAGCGUGGGGAGCAAACAGG
This 253-nucleotide ribosomal RNA is filed under the name uncultured bacterium. RNAcentral describes it as "partial 16S ribosomal RNA". It matches the Rfam family "Bacterial small subunit ribosomal RNA", at positions 524 to 776 of the family's 1533-position model. The record is from RNAcentral.